RNAcentral lists this long non-coding RNA (3123 nucleotides) under Sus scrofa (pig). Its description in RNAcentral is "lncRNA (ENSSSCG00000055508.1)". The record is from RNAcentral. Lineage: Eukaryota; Metazoa; Chordata; Mammalia; Artiodactyla; Suidae.
UAGCCUUGUAUUGGUGUGUGUGCCUUGGAAGGAGCAGACACUUCUUCAGUCUUUACAAACUGGAUUAAGAAGGAAAGCCUUUCACCAAUCAUCACAGCUAGAGAUUCUGGAGGAUCCUUCAAUUCCUUUCUAUGGAUACAUCCACUCCAAUCAUCUCAUUCCCUCCUGGCGAGGAAGUUUUGGAAUUGUGUGCCUACUCUUAAUCCCACAGAACUGUGCCAGGUGCUGAGACCCACCCAUUCUUUUCCCUAGAGGAGUGCUCCAAGACUCCAGGGCAUUGGGUGCAAACUAUACUUCCCUCUCUCCCUCCUGAAGGUGAUGUCUGAGGAUUGUGCACCUUCCUGCCCCACACAGAGCCAUGCUGAGUGUUGAAAGUUACCUGCCCCUUUCUCUAAGGCAGUACACUGAGAUUCCAAGACAAUGGGUACAAGCCCCACUAUCCUGCUGCCCUCCUGAAGGAGCAUUCUCAGGGUUGUGCGCCUUCUCCCAGCCCUGCAGGAUUAAGGCAGAUGCUGAGAUCCUCAUACUGUCUGCAGGGCUGUGCACCUGCCAUAUAUGGGGACACAAGGGGCACCAUCUUCAGGGGUGCUGGGAUGCCAUCUGUGCUGGUGCCAAGGGCACUGGCUGUGGAGGCAUGCACAACACUGACUGCAGGGACACAUGAGGCACCAACUGGAGGUGUGCAUGUGAAAUAGCUAGCUGCUGGGGUCUGCACAUGGGUGGGCUAGCUGGCAGGUUCAUGGGCUGGUUAUUGUGAUCCAUGUAUCAGCUGCCCCAUGGUUUGUUUUUAGCUGCGCUCAGACAAUCCAGCUAUGCUGAUUUCCUCAGCAAACCGGGUGGGAUGAGACAGAAGCUGACUUCUCAAGCAAUGUCCCAAAAGGUUCAAGAUACUAGUAGCUCACUUUGCUGUCUUUCCCCUUCAGGAGAAAGAAAUGAGUGUGGACUGUCCCUCUCUGUAUUGAACUGUGCCAGCCUGAGGGAGGUUUGAUGCAGGUUAAGUGAAACUGUUCAAAUCAUUUUCAGUAUGGCUGCUCUUGGCUUUUGUGCUCCACUGGGAUGUUUGAACUUCUCAACUGGUCCCUAGAGCUCUUUUAAAGUAUUUUCAUCCAUAGAUAAUUGUUAAGUUGAUAUUCCUGUGGGUUUUGGGACCUCCCAUUCUACCAUCUUGUUGACAUAGGUCAUUUCUUUUCAUCCUUUCCUUUCUUUUCCUGCUUUCUUUUAUAAAUCCUAGCCUUACAUCACUUCAUAUCCAAAAUAGUGCUAGACAAGGUAUAAUGCAAACAAGGUCUAAUUUAUACUCUUCAGUGAAAGCUAUAGCCAUAUUUAUAAAUAGAAAAUGGAAAAAAUAUAGAUAUAUGCAAAUACAUUGGAUUAUUGAGAGGAGGAAGGACAUUGUGCUACUUCAGAUCUUCUGAAUAGCAGAAGUCAAGAUGUGAUCAGACAUAUGAGGGAUAUAGUGUGGAAAUGCCUUAUUUGGGAAAAACAGAUGGAAUAGUAGGAGUACCAGAAGUCAUCAGACUCUGAUGAAAGUCUAACACCCUUGAAGAAGAGAGAGACCAAAGGAAGGUUAGAUAGACAGAGAUCUCAGACUAUAGGGAAAUUCUAAGAAUGUUUUGGUGAGGAGUUGUCAAGCAGGUCACCUUUAGAGGCAUUGUAUAGCUUGCAAGUAUGAGUUUAGGUCAGCUGUCAGUGAUGCAACUUGGAUCAGGAGACAUGAUGGACACAUUUUUGUGGCCAUCACAGAUACCUUAUCUAUCUGGAGAAGUCACUGGAAGAGGCGAAAUGCAGGGGAUAUGACAGACUCAUUAUAUUUCAGUCAGCCAAAACCAGAGUUCCAAGAGGAAAUGGGGGGGGGGGCAAGGGAAGUUAAGCAAAAUUCAUACCUCUCCAUGACAACAUAUCAAGGGUUACUCUUUCAAAUAUUUAAGGUAAUGUCAGUGUACUUUGUGAGUUGUCCAAUUUACAGUUAAAUUAAAUGAAUGACUUAAAUUAGCAUUUCUCAAUGUUAAUUCACUGAACAUUAGCUCAGGAUUAUAAUAUAGCUAGGAGGGGUAUCUACUAUUUUCAUAUAACUUCUGUAAAUACCCAGUUAAAGUAAUUUUUCAUGGUUCAUGUGUCUGUGUGUGUUUCCUGAAGAUUUUUUCUAGAACUUGGGAUAUGUACAUUUGCAUGGUAAAUCUCCAUGAAGCGGAUUUAGUACAUAGUGUGUCACAGUUGUAAUUGACUAAGGAAACCUAUUUCUCACAGAGAAUCUCCUGGAAGUAGUGCUUUGCAGAAAUGGUGAUUUCAUGGCACAACCUCACAUCACUGAGACUUUGUUCACACAUAUUGAAGGGGUGAGGAAUUAGAUCCCUGGCGUAUUAUUUUUAUAAUACAGAAAUUCUUUCUAUACUCUCACAGAUGUAUUGUAGAGGAGUGGUUUGGAGCAUGGGUUCUGAACUUACGCAGAACCCAGUUUGAUCUCUAUACUUGCCCUUCACUAGCUUUGUGACUCUAAGCUGUGAUACUUUAAUACUGUGUGCCUCAGGGUCCUCGCUGCAAAAUGAGGAUAUUAAGAAUAAUUCUCCUGUAGAGUUGUUCAGAGGGUUAAAUGAAAGCUAUGCAAAUCACCUCACACCUGGUAAGCACCUUAAAAUGUUAGCUGUUAUUAUUAAUAAACUUUUCAUUAGAAUCCAUUUCCCCAAUGUGUAGAAACACUGUGAAGAAAUAAUUCAUCCCCCUUAGCUGUGGGUUACUCUUGAGAUUUCUUCCUUCUUCCUUUCCUUCCUUGUCAUUAUUUAGUUGUUUGCACUUGGACUAAGCACUUCAAGUUCCUUCGCUUCAGGUUUCUCAUUGUGAAACUGACAAAUAAAACCUACCUGACUAGGUGUUGUGAGGAUUAAAUGAGAUAAUGUAUGUACAGAGUCUAGUGCCACAGUGAAUGCACAAUAAGUGCUCAGCUGAUGUUAGGCCCGCUUUAAGGUUUCAGGUAUGGGGAUUUUCAUAACAAUUUACAAAGCAUUUGAACAUAUCCAGAGGGAUUAAUUUAAUCUAAAUAGAAACUUGAAAGACAAAUGUUCCUUGCUGGUGUUUUUCAUGGAUUGAAAAAGAGAGAAAAACAGUAAGAUGCUGCUGAAAUAGUCC